This 706-nucleotide ribosomal RNA is filed under the name bacterium RB33SAN. RNAcentral describes it as "bacterial SSU rRNA". It matches the Rfam family "Bacterial small subunit ribosomal RNA", at positions 97 to 818 of the family's 1533-position model. The record is from RNAcentral.
GGCGAACGGGUGAGUAACMCGUGAGCAACCUGCCCCAAGCUUUGGGAUAACCCUCGGAAACGGGGGCUAAUACCGAAUAGGACUGCUGGCCGCAUGGCUGGUGGUGGAAAGUUUUUCGGCUUGGGAUGGGCUCGCGGCCUAUCAGCUUGUUGGUGGGGUGAUGGCCUACCAAGGCGACGACGGGUAGCCGGCCUGAGAGGGCRAMCGGCCACACUGGGACUGAGACAYNNNNNAGACUCCUACGGGAGGCAGCAGUGGGGAAUAUUGCACAAUGGGCGGAAGCCUGAUGCAGCGACGCCGCGUGAGGGAUGACGGCCUUCGGGUUGUAAACCUCUUUCAGCAGGGACGAAGCGAGAGUGACGGUACCUGCAGAAGAAGCACCGGCCAACUACGUGCCAGCAGCCGCGGUAAGACGUAGGGUGCGAGCGUUGUCCGGAUUUAUUGGGCGUAAAGAGCUCGUAGGCGGCUUGUCGCGUCGACCGUGAAAACUUGGGGCUCAACCCCAAGCCUGCGGUCGAUACGGGCAGGCUAGAGUUCGGUAGGGGAGACUGGAAUUCCUGGUGUAGCGGUGAAAUGCGCAGAUAUCAGGAGGAACACCGGUGGCGAANGCGGGNCUCUGGGCCGAUACUGACGCUGAGGAGCGAAAGCGUGGGGAGCGAACAGGAUUAGAUACCCUGGUAGUCCACGCUGUAAACGUUGGGCGCUA